GCGGUAGUGGCUCAGGGGUAGAGCACCGCCUUGCCAAGGCGGGGGUCGCGGGUUCAAAUCCCGUCUACCGCU
This 72-nucleotide transfer RNA is filed under the name Paenalicyclobacillus macrosporangiidus. RNAcentral describes it as "Alicyclobacillus macrosporangiidus tRNA". It matches the Rfam family "tRNA". From Rfam's summary of the family: Transfer RNA (tRNA) molecules are approximately 80 nucleotides in length. Their secondary structure includes four short double-helical elements and three loops (D, anti-codon, and T loops). Further hydrogen bonds mediate the characteristic L-shaped molecular structure. tRNAs have two regions of fundamental functional importance: the anti-codon, which is responsible for specific mRNA codon recognition, and the 3' end, to which the tRNAs corresponding amino acid is attached (by aminoacyl-tRNA synthetases). tRNAs cope with the degeneracy of the genetic code in two manners: having more than one tRNA (with a specific anti-codon) for a particular amino acid; and 'wobble' base-pairing, i.e. permitting non-standard base-pairing at the 3rd anti-codon position. The record is from Rfam by way of RNAcentral. Lineage: Bacteria; Bacillati; Bacillota; Bacilli; Caryophanales; Alicyclobacillaceae.